RNAcentral lists this ribosomal RNA (339 nucleotides) under uncultured bacterium. Its description in RNAcentral is "bacterial SSU rRNA". It matches the Rfam family "Bacterial small subunit ribosomal RNA", at positions 28 to 346 of the family's 1533-position model. The record is from RNAcentral.
GACGAACGCUGGCGGCGUGCCUAAUACAUGCAAGUCGAACGCACUUUCUUCACCGGAGCUUGCUCCACCGAAAGAAAGUGAGUGGCGGACGGGUGAGUAACACGUGGGCAACCUGCCCAUCAGAGGGGGAUAACACUUGGAAACAGGUGCUAAUACCGCAUAAUUUGUUUUUCCGCAUGGGAGAAUAAUAAAAGACCGCUUUCGGUGUCACUGGUGGAUGGGCCCCGCGCUGCAUUAGUUAGUUGGUGGGGUAACGGCCUACCAAGACCGUGAUGCAUAGCCGACCUGAGAGGUGAUCGGCCACACUGGGACUGAGACACGGCCCAGACUCCUACGGGA